AAUAGAUACCCCGGUAGUCCACGCCCUAAACGAUGUCAACUAGCUGUUGGGGUCUUCGGACCUUGGUAGCGCAGCUAACGCGUGAAGUUGACCGCCUGGGGAGUACGGUCGCAAGAUUAAAACUCAAAGGAAUUGACGGGGACCCGCACAAGCGGUGGAUGAUGUGGAUUAAUUCGAUGCAACGCGAAAAACCUUACCUACCCUUGACAUGUCUGGAAUCCCGAAGAGAUUUGGGAGUGCUCGCAAGAGAACCGGAACACAGGUGCUGCAUGGCUGUCGUCAGCUCGUGUCGUGAGAUGUUGGGUUAAGUCCCGCAACGAGCGCAACCCUUGUCAUUAGUUGCUACGAAAGGGCACUCUAAUGAGACUGCCGGUGACAAACCGGAGGAAGGUGGGGAUGACGUCAAGUCCUCAUGGCCCUUAUGGGUAGGGCUUCACACGUCAUACAAUGGUCGGGACAGAGGGUCGCCAACCCGCGAGGGGAGCCAAUCCCAGAAACCCGAUCGUAGUCCGGAUCGCAGUCUGCAACUCGACUG
RNAcentral lists this ribosomal RNA (535 nucleotides) under uncultured bacterium. RNAcentral describes it as "bacterial SSU rRNA". It matches the Rfam family "Bacterial small subunit ribosomal RNA", at positions 777 to 1318 of the family's 1533-position model. The record is from RNAcentral.